This 106-nucleotide non-coding RNA is filed under the name Roseburia sp. CAG:182. RNAcentral's name for it is "SAM riboswitch aptamer (S box leader)". It matches the Rfam family "SAM riboswitch aptamer (S box leader)". From Rfam's summary of the family: The SAM riboswitch is found upstream of a number of genes which code for proteins involved in methionine or cysteine biosynthesis in Gram-positive bacteria. The SAM riboswitch acts at the level of transcription termination control. RNAcentral also lists the same sequence under 1 other name. The record is from Rfam by way of RNAcentral. Lineage: Bacteria; Bacillati; Bacillota; Clostridia; Lachnospirales; Lachnospiraceae.
CUCUUAUUCAGAGUGAUGGAGAUACAUAGGAUCGAUGAAGUCACGGCAACCCCUCUUUACGGAAGGUGCCAACCUGAGCGAGUAUUUAUGGCAGCGCAGAUCAGGA